CGAGGUCGUGAAACUUUCAUAACUGUCGCACAUCGGUGAACUAAAAAAUGUCAAUCAUCUGUCACAGAAGAUCAAGUGAUUAAUCGACAUAAGUAUCUACUGCAGAAGGACAACAUCAUCGUUGACGAUUGCAAAAUGAAAAUAUAGAUUAACUCUGAAAAACAUUGAACGUACUCUGUUGUAUCAGAUAUUCAACCAGAAUUUAAUUCUUUAUGCAAAAAUAAACAAGCACAUCUGUUUCACCGAUAUGCAAAUUUAAUUCUGCUCUAAUAGCUGAUAAUAAAUGACACAAUUAUAAAUGGUGGACAAUAUAUAACUGACCAAUUUCAAAGUCCCGUCAUUCCGAAACGAUGCAUCAUCUCCUGUUCCGCUAUAACAAUCGUAUCAUGGACGUAUGAAAAAAUAAUCAUCGAGCGUUACACAGUUCGAGAGCGGGAAAAAAUUGUCAAAACACUUUAUCGAAAUAAUUCAUCGAUAAUGAUGAUCACACGCAAAUUACUCUGCCGGUAUCUUCCGGUCAUCAAAGAUCGCCUGAUUCUAUUACAGCGGGUUUCUUGUUACGAGGUUAUCUCAAAAGUAAAACGCAUGUCGAUAAACGAAAGCCAAUCGAGCAGCUAAAAGAUGCUAUUCGAGAAACGACAGUGAACAUAACUUUCGAAACGUGCGAAGAUGUAACGAAAAAUACUACUGACAGGGCUGACUUUGUACAGCGUCCGAAGGCAAACAUCUUUCUUAUAUCGUGAUGUUAUACAUGAUUUUCAGAUAUUAAUAAAUGACUCGUAUUAAAAAAAA
This 792-nucleotide unclassified non-coding RNA is filed under the name Bombus terrestris (buff-tailed bumblebee). Its description in RNAcentral is "misc RNA ENSBTSG00005028941.1". The record is from RNAcentral. Lineage: Eukaryota; Metazoa; Arthropoda; Insecta; Hymenoptera; Apidae.